GACGAACGCUGGCGGCGUGCUUAACACAUGCAAGUCGAACGGUAAGGCCCUUCGGGGUACACGAGUGGCGAACGGGUGAGUAACACGUGGGUGAUCUGCCCUGCACUUCGGGAUAAGCCUGGGAAACUGGGUCUAAUACCGGAUAGGACCACUGCCUGCAUGGGCGGUGGUGGAAAGCUUUUGCGGUGUGGGAUGGGCCCGGGGCCUAUCAACUUGUUGGGGGGGUGAUGGCCUACCAAGGCGACGACGGGUAGCCGGCCUGAGAGGGUGAACGGCCACACUGGGACUGAGAUACGGCCCAGACUCCUACGGGAAGCAGCAGUGGGGAAUAUUGCACAAUGGGCGCAAGCCUGAUGCAGCGACGCCGCGUGAGGGAUGACGGCCUUCGGGUUGUAAACCUCUUUCAGCACCGACGAAGCGCAAGUGACGGUAGGUGCAGAAGAAGGACCGGCCAACUACGUGCCAGCCGCCGCCGUAA
This 478-nucleotide ribosomal RNA is filed under the name uncultured bacterium. Its description in RNAcentral is "partial 16S ribosomal RNA". It matches the Rfam family "Bacterial small subunit ribosomal RNA", at positions 28 to 523 of the family's 1533-position model. The record is from RNAcentral.